GCUGACGAGUGGCGGACGGGUGAGUAAUGUCUGGGAAACUGCCUGAUGGAGGGGGAUAACUACUGGAAACGGUAGCUAAUACCGCAUAACGUCGCAAGACCAAAGAGGGGGACCUUCGGGCCUCUUGCCAUCGGGUGUGCCCAGAUGGGAUUAGCUAGUAGGUGGGGUAACGGCUCACCUAGGCGACGAUCCCUAGCUGGUCUGAGAGGGUGAACGGUCACAUUGGGACUGAGACACGGCCCAAACUCCUACGGGAGGCAGCAUG
Molecule: ribosomal RNA, 265 nt
Filed under: uncultured bacterium
Lineage: Bacteria
Description: partial 16S ribosomal RNA
Rfam family: Bacterial small subunit ribosomal RNA
Source: RNAcentral